Molecule: ribosomal RNA, 437 nt
Filed under: uncultured bacterium
Lineage: Bacteria
Description: partial 16S ribosomal RNA
Rfam family: Bacterial small subunit ribosomal RNA
Source: RNAcentral
CUACGGGGUGCACCAGUGAGGAAUAUUGCACAAUGGGGGGAACCCUGAUGCAGCAACGCCGCGUGGAGGAUGACGCAUUUCGGUGUGUAAACUCCUUUUAUAUGUCAAGAAAAUGACGGUAGCAUAUGAAUAAGCACCGGCUAACUCCGUGCCAGCAGCCGCGGUAAUACGGAGGGUGCAAGCGUUACUCGGAAUCACUGGCGUAAAGGACGCGUAGGCGGGUUGGAAAGUCAGGUGUGAAAUCCUACAGCUUAACUGUAGAACUGCACUUGAAACUUCUAAUCUAGAGUAUGGGAGGGGGAGAUGGAACUAGUGGUGUAGGGGUAAAAUCCGUAGAUAUCACUAGGAAUACCUAAAGCGAAGGCGAUCUCCUGGAACAUUACUGACGCUAAGGCGUGAAAGCGUGGGGAGCAAACAGGAUUAGAUACCCGGUAGUC